Aquila chrysaetos chrysaetos is the source of this 1084-nucleotide long non-coding RNA. RefSeq lists it as uncharacterized. The transcript is spliced from 3 exons. Lineage: Eukaryota; Metazoa; Chordata; Aves; Accipitriformes; Accipitridae. The record is from RefSeq and is a predicted model, not a curated record.
GGCCGUGAGCUGCAUGCUUGGGUUUUACCCUCUGCUGCUGCAAAACGAAACAGAAAUCACUGACAGUCGUGGACACCCAAGAGCAAGAGCAGCCUGGGAGACCUGGCAGCACACAGCUCUCUCUGAGCGAGCCAGAGGCUCACAGUUUCCGUCUGCAGCUUGCUACAAGACAUCGCCGUCCCCUGUGCACAGCAGCUCUUUGGAGUGGAAACCAGUGCGUGGGAGCGACGCGCAGCUGCCGCCCGAAUUUGCUUUUGUUUUGACCACUCUAAGGGACAACAAGCCUUGACAGGCUGGGAUUGAUGGUGCCAUUGGGAGCCUGGCAGCCAAACAACCACGCAGAGCGGCCGGCAGCGGCAGUUUUUGAGGAGCUGUCAGCAUGAUGGAGCACCCGGGCAGGGACCCCGCUCCCGCAGCGCCGGCAGGAUAGCCAACGCUGGACACGGGCUCUGCUGCUCCCGGUGGAUGCCGGCCCUUGGGGUUCAGCCCUGGAGCGGGGCUGCGGGAUGGGGGAGCGAUUGUCUCGGGGCUCUCGCAGGAGCUGGGCAGAGCCCAGCCCAGGGGAUUCGUUUUCACACCUCGUCAGCAGCUAAAGCAAAGGAUGAUUAAGGACCAGAGGGGCUGAAUCCAUCGCGCUCAGUGGUUCGAGCACAGCCCCAGGGAGGGGAUGGGGAAGGACCAGCGCUAUCACUUCUCUUCAGGCUUUACUUCUGGCCCUUUCAGUUUGAAAUGUACCUGCUCUGGGUGGGACUGCGCUGUGAGGAUGGGCAGGGGGGACAGCCAGCACGCCUGGGGCCUCUUGAGGAAAAUAAUGAAAGGCCCAUCCUCCCCAUCCAGCGAAAGCUUUUGUUCAGAAGAAAACCACAGAGGAGAGGAGACGUUUCAGUCACUUAGGCACAGGGCAUCUGAGCAGGCAUUACUGAGGGGCAGUUGUGGGCAUUGGGUGGCUGGGAACAAAGUGCCACCCCGCUUCACCUUCUCCAUCGCAAGUAAUAAAUCUUUAAUUUUAUAAGAGAGUGAUUCAAAUAAUCAGGUUUGGUUUUUACACCUCGAGAACUCAUAUUCCCAGUCACAAACUUGGAUA